RNAcentral lists this ribosomal RNA (427 nucleotides) under uncultured bacterium. Its description in RNAcentral is "bacterial SSU rRNA". It matches the Rfam family "Bacterial small subunit ribosomal RNA", at positions 355 to 774 of the family's 1533-position model. The record is from RNAcentral.
UGGGGAAUAUUGGACAAUGGGCGAAAGCCUGAUCCAGCCAUGCCGCGUGUGUGAAGAAGGUCUUCGGAUUGUAAAGCACUUUAAGUUGGGAGGAAGGGCUGCAAGUUAAUACCUUGUAGUUUUGACGUUACCAACAGAAUAAGCACCGGCUAACUUCGUGCCAGCAGCCGCGGUAAUACGAAGGGUGCAAGCGUUAAUCGGAAUUACUGGGCGUAAAGCGCGCGUAGGUGGUUUGGUAAGAUGGAUGUGAAAUCCCCGGGCUCAACCUGGGAACUGCAUCCAGAACUGCCUGACUAGAGUACGGUAGAGGGUGGUGGAAUUUCCUGUGGAGCGGUGAAAUGCGUAGAUAUAGGAAGGAACACCAGUGGCGAAGGCGACCACCUGGACUGAUACUGACACUGAGGUGCGAAAGCGUGGGGAGCAAACG